RNAcentral lists this ribosomal RNA (470 nucleotides) under Veillonella dispar. Its description in RNAcentral is "bacterial SSU rRNA". It matches the Rfam family "Bacterial small subunit ribosomal RNA", at positions 28 to 475 of the family's 1533-position model. Lineage: Bacteria; Bacillati; Bacillota; Negativicutes; Veillonellales; Veillonellaceae. The record is from RNAcentral.
GACGAACGCUGGCGGCGUGCUUAACACAUGCAAGUCGAACGAAGAGCGAUGGAAGCUUGCUUCUAUCAAUCUUAGUGGCGAACGGGUGAGUAACGCGUAAUCAACCUGCCCUUCAGAGGGGGACAACAGUUGGAAACGAUUGCUAAUACCGCAUACGAUCUGACCUCGGCAUCGAGGAUAGAUGAAAGGUGGCCUCUAUUUAUAAGCUAUCACUGAAGGAGGGGAUUGCGUCUGAUUAGCUAGUUGGAGGGGUAACGGCCCACCAAGGCGAUGAUCAGUAGCCGGUCUGAGAGGAUGAACGGCCACAUUGGGACUGAGACACGGCCCAGACUCCUACGGGAGGCAGCAGUGGGGAAUCUUCCGCAAUGGACGAAAGUCUGACGGAGCAACGCCGCGUGAGUGAUGACGGCCUUCGGGUUGUAAAGCUCUGUUAAUCGGGACGAAAGGCCUUCUUGCGAAUAGUUAGAAGG